This 490-nucleotide ribosomal RNA is filed under the name uncultured bacterium. RNAcentral describes it as "bacterial SSU rRNA". It matches the Rfam family "Bacterial small subunit ribosomal RNA", at positions 32 to 509 of the family's 1533-position model. The record is from RNAcentral.
AACGCUAGCUACAGGCUUAACACAUGCAAGUCGCGGGGCAUCAUGACGAUAGCUUGCUAUUGUUGAUGGCGACCGGCGCACGGGUGAGUAACGCGUAUCCAACCUGCCCCCAAGUAGGGCACAGCCCGGCGAAAGUCGGAUUAAUUCCCUAUGUGGUCAUGUUAUGGCAUCAGUAUAUGACUAAAGGCUUUGGUUGCUUGGGGUUGGGGAUGCGUAGGAUUAGCUAGACGGCGGGUUGACAGCCCACCGUGGCGACGAUCCUUAGGGGUUCUGAGAGGAAGGUCCCCCACACUGGUACUGAGACACGGACCAGACUCCUACGGGAGGCAGCAGUGAGGAAUAUUGGUCAAUGGGCGCAAGCCUGAACCAGCCAAGUAGCGUGCAGGAUGACGGCCCUAUGGGUUGUAAACUGCUUUUAUGCGGGGAUAAAGUGUGCCACGUGUGGCAUAUUGCAGGUACCGCAUGAAUAAGGACCGGCUAAUUCCGUGCC